CAGGGAGACAACAAAAUGUUUAAUAUUAUUAUUUUGUCACCUUAGGUCGAUCGGUAUCUCACGUUCUUAAUUUAUUAAGAAUUUCAUUUCCUAAGUUUUUCUAGGUCACACCCAUUAUUUUUCCUGGGCCAUUAGCUCAGGUGGUUAGAGCGCACCCCUGAUAAGGGUGAGGUCCCUGGUUCAAGUCCAGGAUGGCCCAUAUCUCUAUGUUGGGGGUAUAGCUCAGUUGGUAGAGCGCCUGCUUUGCAAGCAGGAUGUCAGCGGUUCGAGUCCGCUUACCUCCACUGAUUACCACCUCUUCCAUAUUUAGUAGAAAGGAAAUGUUUUGAGUUGUGAUCAAAUUCUGAACGAAUCUAGCUUCCUAAUGAAAUCAUUAAGAUGCUGGACUCAUUGAAUUAAUUUCAUUGUUUUCAGAGAACCUUGACAACUGCAUAGAUUAUUUUUAAAGACAAUAAGCAUCUUUAAUGAUGCAGAUUUAUUAUUUGUGCAAAUGCAUUAAUAACAAUUCUAUUAAGCUGAUGCUUCAAUUUUGAAGUUAUU
RNAcentral lists this transfer RNA (540 nucleotides) under uncultured cyanobacterium. Its description in RNAcentral is "partial miscellaneous RNA". The stretch from base 212 to 284 matches the Rfam family "tRNA". Lineage: Bacteria; Bacillati; Cyanobacteriota. The record is from RNAcentral.